Molecule: ribosomal RNA, 460 nt
Filed under: uncultured bacterium
Lineage: Bacteria
Description: partial 16S ribosomal RNA
Rfam family: Bacterial small subunit ribosomal RNA
Source: RNAcentral
CCUACGGGAGGCUGCAGUGAGGAAUAUUGGUCAAUGGGCGGAAGCCUGAACCAGCCAAGUAGCGUGCAGGAUGACGGCCCUACGGGUGGUAAACUGCUUUUAUACGGGAAUAACGCGCCUUACGUGUAGGGCUUUGCAUGUACCGUAUGAAUAAGGACCGGCCAAUGCCGUGCGAGGAGGCGCGGUAAUACGUAGGGUCCGGGCGUUAUCCGGAUUUAUGGGGUUUAAAGGGAGCGUAGGCGGCAUGUCAAGCGUGCUGUGAAAUGCCCGGGCUCAACCCGGGCCUUGCAGCGCGAACUGGCGUGCUUGAGUCCGCGGAAAGCAGGCGGAAUUCGUCGUGUAGCGGUGAAAUGCUUAGAUAUGACGAAGAACCCCGAUUGCGAAGGCAGCUUGCUGCAGCGGAACUGACGCUGAUGCUCGAAAGCGCGGGUAGCGAACAGGAUUAGAUACCCUUGUAGUC